RNAcentral lists this non-coding RNA (29 nucleotides) under Homo sapiens (human). The record is from RNAcentral. Lineage: Eukaryota; Metazoa; Chordata; Mammalia; Primates; Hominidae.
UGUACAUGUGGUUGACAAAGAAAAGGGAA